UAAACUCUGCUUGCUUCUCCCCCUGGUGUGUUUAUUGGCGCUAAGCACUCCGGGCACAGACCACUGUUGCUUGCCUUGAGCACCUUCUGGUGCCUGCAACAUGUCAGCAGCGGCUCCGUGCCAUUCUCCCCCCCUUCACUCGCUGGUCCCAGGGCCCGGCUCGGAGCAGUGCCAGGGGGCAGCGGGCUCUGAGCCGGGGGAGGAUCGCUCCGCCCUGCCUCAGUUUCUCUCUCCACCCACAGCCGGUGAAGCAGCGUUGUGUCCUCGCCGGUCUCCGCACCGAGCGGCCGCGGCAGGAGCCCCCCUGCAAUCGUAAGUGCAGAUUCUCCCUGCCCGGGGAGGGGGCGCUGACUCUGCUCGAAGGUGAGUGUCCGGCCUGGGGUGGUAGGGGCCGCAAGCAGCCUCUCACUCAGGUGAAGUCAGGGUGCGGGGGCUGUACAGCACCAGCACAGCUGCUGUGGCAUGAGCAGCGCCUGCCCUGAGCGCGGUUGGAGGUUUUCUGGGGCUGGAGGGACUCCACCUCCCCGAGUGGCAGUAGCUGCCCACCUAGCAGCAGCUACACCCCGAGGUGGGUCUUCGUAGCGACACUCAGGCGUGUGGCUUUUCCCACCCCUGACUGGAGUAACUAGGUCCACCUGUGUUUUAACUCACUCUCACCUGUCUGCUCUGCAGGGCUGUUUGGGGAGGCACAGCCUUCCCUACCUGGCCCUUCAGACAAUUUUGGAAUCUUGAUAUGGUCCUCAGACCAAAAAGUUUGCCCACACCUGCCCUAAUGUCUCCCCGCCCCUGUCAAAAAAAAGUGGCCUUAUGUAUGUCAU
Non-coding RNA from Chelonoidis abingdonii (Abingdon island giant tortoise), 818 nucleotides. The record is from RefSeq and is a predicted model, not a curated record. Lineage: Eukaryota; Metazoa; Chordata; Testudines; Testudinidae.